GGGAUGACAGGGAGCGCCGGUCCCGCUCUGUGGUCCAGGUCCCCGGGAGCUCCGCGCUCGCUCGGCUUUGUGCGCGGCAGGUGCAGCCCAACAGCUCUUUGGCUGCAGCAGGUUUGCCAUUUUCAUUAAUAACCACCAUUUAGAAGAACCAGAAUAAAGAAUAUUUUCUAUUUAAAAAUUUGCCAGCUCAGGUUGAGAGCACAGGUAGCAGCAAGAAUGGAAACACAUGAACAGUUAUUAAAGAGAAUGUCAUUUAUAAUUUUGAAUGAAAUGUCAAGAGCUGACUAUUCCAGCAUAUUCAAUGAUUUUGUUGAAUCUGAAUUUUUUCUGAUUGAUGGAGAUUCAUUACUUGUCACAUGUGUAUGUGAGAGAUCAUUAAAGAAGGGCCAAAGUCUCCAUUUCUUCUACCUUGUUGAACGCUAUCUCUUGGAUGUUAUGAGUA
This is a non-coding RNA of Castor canadensis (American beaver), 442 nucleotides long. Lineage: Eukaryota; Metazoa; Chordata; Mammalia; Rodentia; Castoridae. The record is from RefSeq and is a predicted model, not a curated record.